CCUACGGGAGGCAGCAGUGGGGAAUAUUGGACAAUGGGCGAAAGCCUGAUCCAGCCAUGCCGCGUGUGUGAAGAAGGCCUUCGGGUUGUAAAGCACUUUCAGUGGGGAAGAAAGCCUUGGGGCUAAUACCCUCGAGGAAGGACAUCACCCACAGAAGAAGCACCGGCUAACUCCGUGCCAGCAGCCGCGGUAAUACGGAGGGUGCGAGCGUUAAUCGGAAUUACUGGGCGUAAAGCGCGCGUAGGCGGUCUGAUAAGCCGGUUGUGAAAGCCCCGGGCUUAACCUGGGAACGGCAUCCGGAACUGUCAGGCUAGAGUGCAGGAGAGGAAGGUAGAAUUCCCGGUGUAGCGGUGAAAUGCGUAGAGAUCGGGAGGAAUACCAGUGGCGAAGGCGGCCUUCUGGACUGACACUGACGCUGAGGUGCGAAAGCGUGGGUAGCAAACAGGAUUAGAUACCCCAGUAGUC
This 465-nucleotide ribosomal RNA is filed under the name Vreelandella stevensii. RNAcentral describes it as "partial 16S ribosomal RNA". It matches the Rfam family "Bacterial small subunit ribosomal RNA", at positions 338 to 795 of the family's 1533-position model. The record is from RNAcentral. Lineage: Bacteria; Pseudomonadati; Pseudomonadota; Gammaproteobacteria; Oceanospirillales; Halomonadaceae.